AUAAGCCAAUUUGCCAUAAAUCAUUUAAAUAUUUUCUUUACGAUUUGAGUGUAAAAUUACAGUAGGUAGUAAAUUCUACGAAAGAAUUAACGCUAAUUUCUACAUAAUAACAGUUAUAUACAAUAGCAGGUGGAUUUAGUUUAGCAGAUAGUGCGGAGCUUAGGUUUGCCUAUCAUCCAUUGUUCUCAACUAAGGAAGGUAAUUUGUUAAGCCUAAUUUCGUUGGUACGUGGAUACCCCAAGUAGUGCAGGAAACACUGAAUUCUUUGAAGCGCACUAAUAAACGGAAGCUAUCAAAUCUCAGUAUUUUCUUGUCCACUGCCAACAGAAGGGGUGGGCACCAUUAGGUUUGCCGGAAAAUUUUACAUAAGGUCAGUUAUAUUUGAUCAAUUGCCAGGCAGUUUCUGAAUUUCGUUCGUUUUAGGCUAGGUUUUCCCGUAGUGCUAAUAAAGCCAUUUUCAAAAUUACUUCGAAGUUUCGAAUAAUUUCAGAAGUGAAAU
This is a long non-coding RNA of Sabethes cyaneus, 499 nucleotides long. RefSeq lists it as uncharacterized. The record is from RefSeq and is a predicted model, not a curated record. The transcript has 3 exons. NCBI's taxonomy places the organism in Eukaryota, Metazoa, Arthropoda, Insecta, Diptera, Culicidae.